RNAcentral lists this ribosomal RNA (253 nucleotides) under uncultured bacterium. RNAcentral describes it as "partial 16S ribosomal RNA". It matches the Rfam family "Bacterial small subunit ribosomal RNA", at positions 524 to 776 of the family's 1533-position model. The record is from RNAcentral.
UACGGGGGGGGCAAGCGUUGUUCGGAAUUACUGGGCGUAAAGGGCUCGUAGGUGGCCAACUAAGUCAGACGUGAAAUCCCCCGGCUUAACCGGGGAACUGCGUCUGAUACUGGAUGGCUUGAGUUCGGGAGAGGGAUGCGGAAUUCCAGGUGUAGCGGUGAAAUGCGUAGAUAUCUGGAGGAACACCGGUGGCGAAGGCGGCAUCCUGGACCGACACUGACGCUGAGGAGCGAAAGCCAGGGGAGCAAACGGG